RNAcentral lists this ribosomal RNA (746 nucleotides) under Nicomache personata. RNAcentral describes it as "partial 28S rRNA". It matches the Rfam family "Eukaryotic large subunit ribosomal RNA", at positions 391 to 960 of the family's 3401-position model. The record is from RNAcentral. Lineage: Eukaryota; Metazoa; Annelida; Polychaeta; Maldanidae.
AAGAGUACGUGAAACCGUUCAGAGGUAAACGGACGGGACCGCAAACGUACCCCCGUGGAAUUCAACCCUCGUGGCGUCGGACGCGCCGCGCUCCAGACCGCAAGGCUGGGCGUGGCGCGGGUCGGCCCUCGGGGGCGCAUUUUUCCGGGGGUGAGCCGCGACCGACGCGCGGUCGGCCAGAAGCCCGCCGGGAAGGUGCCCUCCCUCGGGAGGGUUUAUAGCCCAGGCGGUCGCGGGCCCGACGCGCGCGCCGAGGUAGCUUGCCCGCCCGGCGCGGGGGCCUCCGGGCCGUUCGUCUGUCGACCGGGGGGGACUGUUCUCAGUGCCCCUCGACUGCGGGCGUUCGCCCCGCGGGAUCUCCCCCGCGCCGCAAAGGGUCUGCGGCUUUUCUGUCGGCACCCCGUCCGACCCGUCUUGAAACACGGACCAAGGAGUCUAACAUGUGUGCGAGCCACUGGGCCGUACGAAACCCAAAGGCGAAGUGAAAGCGAAGGCUCGGUCUGACCGGGCCCGGGUCUGAUCCCUCCUCGUGGGGGCGCAAGACCGGCCCGUCUCAGAGGCUUAUGUCCUCGAGGCGGAGCAAGAGUACACACGUUGGGACCCGAAAGAUGGUGAACUAUGCCUGAGUAGGGCGAAGCCAGAGGAAACUCUGGUGGAGGUCCGUAGCGAUUCUGACGUGCAAAUCGAUCGUCAAACCUGGGUAUAGGGGCGAAAGACUAAUCGAACCAUCUAGUAGCUGGUUCCCC